GCCGGUGUGGUGGAAUGGUAGACGCAGCGGAUUCAAAAUCCGCCGAUCGCAAGGUCAUGUCAGUUCGAGUCUGACCACCGGCACCA
RNAcentral lists this transfer RNA (86 nucleotides) under Alphaproteobacteria bacterium. Its description in RNAcentral is "tRNA-Leu". It matches the Rfam family "tRNA". From Rfam's summary of the family: Transfer RNA (tRNA) molecules are approximately 80 nucleotides in length. The record is from RNAcentral. Lineage: Bacteria; Pseudomonadati; Pseudomonadota; Alphaproteobacteria.